CCUACGGGAGGCAGCAGUGAGGAAUAUUGGUCAAUGGGCGUAAGCCUGAACCAGCCAAGUCGCGUGAGGGAUGAAGGUUCUAUGGAUCGUAAACCUCUUUUAUAAGGGAAUAAAGUGUGGGACGUGUCCGAUUUUGUAUGUACCUUAUGAAUAAGGAUCGGCUAACUCCGUGCCAGCAGCCGCGGUAAUACGGAGGAUCCGAGCGUUAUCCGGAUUUAUUGGGUUUAAAGUGUGCGUAGGCGGCCUUUUUAGUCAGCGGUGAAAGUCUGUGGCGCAACCAUAGAAUUGUCGUUGAAACCGGGGGGCUUGAGUAUGUUUGCGGCAGUCCGACUUCGUGGUGUAGCCGUUA
This 349-nucleotide ribosomal RNA is filed under the name uncultured bacterium. RNAcentral's name for it is "partial 16S ribosomal RNA". It matches the Rfam family "Bacterial small subunit ribosomal RNA", at positions 338 to 684 of the family's 1533-position model. The record is from RNAcentral.